AUGCAUAUGCAUGAUACAAGUAGUGAUUCUCAGACAUCCAGAAUAUCUCAGUCAGCUUGGCGUAACACACAGCCAGGACGGAUGGUUUUGAGCCCUCUGAACCAUGCUCAUCAAGCCAUGUGGGUCCUCCACAGAUCGGAAGGCUUCCUGGGACAGGGAAAGUUCUGCAGCAAUCUUCAGUUGUUCAACCCUAGUAUCAAGGUACAACUAACAACUUUCAGGGGCAGUCGGAUCAGGACGAUCUCGAGAUUUGUUCAGAUUUGCGAGAUGGUUUCUGAUCAUGUCACACAGCCUACGGAACUCGGUAGAUCUUUUGUACUGCUUGCAGAACUGAAAGGCAUUGUGCGCAGCCAUGGCAUACAACGCUUCAAGCUUGGAGUUAUUCCUCAGCAGUCAGCACCUCCAGCACCGUCCUGUACGUCUCCCACGGAAACUUGA
This 438-nucleotide ribosomal RNA is filed under the name Triticum aestivum (bread wheat). RNAcentral's name for it is "partial small subunit ribosomal RNA". The record is from RNAcentral. Lineage: Eukaryota; Viridiplantae; Streptophyta; Magnoliopsida; Poales; Poaceae.